AUUGUUUUGAAUCUGAGUGAAUUGUGCUUGGUGGAAGUUGAGGAGGAAUGAAAACCACCUUUACAAAUACAGGUGUUGUCUUGAAAGCUGGACCUGGAGUUUGUGCUGGGACUCUGAAGCCAAAUUCAGAAGGGAGGAAAAUUGAAUUUGGCUCCGGCUUAGACUUGGAUCCUUCUUCCUUGGCUUUCCAUUGAUGCCAUGUGUAAAUAUGCCAAGAGUUUGGACACCAGCCUUUUUGCCUGCAGGAGUUCACGGGCAGAAGCUGAGGAUUUAGCUCUUUACUCCUGGCUUUCUGAAGCUGGCUCAGCUUGACCGGAAAAAAUUACCCCGAGGRACUGUGCUGUAAAAUCACACACAAUUACUGUUAGCCCCAACCACAUGAAACGAGUACGUGUCCAAUUUACAGCACGUGUGCUAUGGCUUGGGCUUUUACAGAGAUCACAAAUGCAAUUUGGGAUAACUCUGCCCUUGUGAAUUGCUAAUUGGAGGUAAAGAGGAAGAGGAAGCCUCCGUGGAUGAGCCUUCUUCCCGUUUGUAGACAGACUUGAACGAUCGUAUUUUGACCAGAAAAGCAUCUCAACUGAUGAGCUCUGACUUUGCCUUCCAUCACCAGACAAAGAAACACCCCAGGCCAUGAAGAGCUCUCCACAUGUCCACAAGAAGCCCUCGAGCAAGCAGCGAAACUGCAAAAUCCCCAGAUUUUGCAGYUCUUUCCAAGUGUGCACCUAAGCAGAGGAGGGGAUUAUGAGUCUGGUUUUAGGGAGGUGGAUUAUCACAGCAUGGACAGGAAAGAUGGGCAUGAGCCCCUAGGAGCACCCGGAUGACCCACUGGGCACAUCAGGAGUGGCAGCACUCGGRGCAAUGUCUGAAGACCCGACGUCAUCCCCUGCAUUCAUUUGGGAUGUGUUUGUUCAGCGUUGGCCUUUUCCACAGAUUUUUGGCAACCUGUCAUAACCUGACCCUCCUUUUGACUGGUUGCCAGCCCUCUAAAACAAUUCAAAGCCUAAUGAAAUUAAAGCAAACAGAGGAAAAUCAGUAAUAAAUGGUGUAAUGUUUUCCAACAGGUAUAAGGGAAAAUGCUGUACCCAGCGCACAAAUUUGUCUCUGUCAUUUUAGCAGAAAUGCUCUCUGAGGGAGCUGCUGCUUGGACACUGCCAACUCYGAAAAUAUUCCAACAGUUAUCAGGACGCGACAUUUCUGUGGAUUUACUUACAUUUUCCUGCUAACGCUGCAUAAAACCUUGGCCCGUUGAUGAAGAAAGUUAAAGGAGAGAGUGUUCAAAUAUUUAAUAAUGGGUGAAUAAUAAAAUAGUAGAAGCUUUAAUAAUGAUACUUAAAAAUAGAUGAAUUAAUUGAGGAUACAGCACUACCUGCAGCAAAUAGGGUCCCAUCAUGUGCUCAGGGUGGUUCUGAUAGGGAGCCCAUUUCCAAGCCCAUYGCUCACAAAGCAGCCAUGAGCAGAAGGUAUCAUCCAGCCACAAAGGUCAUGUCUAGAAUUAUUUAUUUUGUGAUGUUAUUGGAUUUAUUCAGGAGUAGGGAAAYGGGUGGAAGUUGUCACAGCUCUGCACAAACAGUGACCAAGGGGCAGCUACACACGUGCAAGCUCCAGGAGCAACCCAGCUCUUUGUUUGGGGAUGAGACCCUGCUGUCCAAGGGACAUUUGGUUAAUCAGCCAUAGCUUUUAAAAAUAAACGAUUAUUCUUUUGUUUCUUAACACAAACAUGUACUGAGUAUGUUGCCCGUUUCAACUCGAAAUCACUGCGAAAGCCGAAGUAUCUGCAGUUCUUUCU
Molecule: long non-coding RNA, 1789 nt
Organism: Nothoprocta perdicaria
Lineage: Eukaryota; Metazoa; Chordata; Aves; Tinamiformes; Tinamidae
Exons: 2
Source: RefSeq, a predicted model, not a curated record